This 466-nucleotide ribosomal RNA is filed under the name uncultured bacterium. Its description in RNAcentral is "partial 16S ribosomal RNA". It matches the Rfam family "Bacterial small subunit ribosomal RNA", at positions 28 to 505 of the family's 1533-position model. The record is from RNAcentral.
GACGAACGCUGGCGGCGUGCUUAACACAUGCAAGUCGAACGGAAAGGCCCUGCUUUUGUGGGGUGCUCGAGUGGCGAACGGGUGAGUAACACGUGAGUAACCUGCCCUUGACUUUGGGAUAACUUCAGGAAACUGGGGCUAAUACCGGAUAGGAGCUCCUGCUGCAUGGUGGGGGUUGGAAAGUUUCGGCGGUUGGGGAUGGACUCGCGGCUUAUCAGCUUGUUGGUGGGGUAGUGGCUUACCAAGGCUUUGACGGGUAGCCGGCCUGAGAGGGUGACCGGCCACAUGGGGAAUGGGAGCCGGCCCAGCCUCCUACGGGAGGACGGAGUGGGGAAUAUUGGCAAAUGGGCGGAAGCCUGAUGCAGCAACGCCGGGUGGGGGAUGACGGGCUUCGGGGUGUAAACCGCUUUCCCCUGUAACGAAGCGGGAGUGACGGUAAUGGGUAAAGAAGCCCCGGCUAACCACG